AAUCAACGCUGGCGGCGUGCCUCAGACAUGCAAGUCGAACGAUUAAAGCUCUCUUCGGAGAGUGCAUAAAGUGGCGCACGGGUGAGUAACACGUAAGUAAUCUACCUUCGAGUGGGGAAUAACAUCGGGAAACCGAUGCUAAUACCGCAUAAUGCAGCGGCAUCGCAAGAUGACAGUUGUUAAAGAUUUAUCGCUUGAAGAGGAGCUUGCGGCAGAUUAGCUGGUUGGUAAGGUAAUGGCUUACC
This 245-nucleotide ribosomal RNA is filed under the name uncultured bacterium. RNAcentral's name for it is "partial 16S ribosomal RNA". It matches the Rfam family "Bacterial small subunit ribosomal RNA", at positions 32 to 269 of the family's 1533-position model. The record is from RNAcentral.